GCUGGCGGCGUGCUUAACACAUGCAAGUCGAACGAUGAAGCCUAGCUUGCUAGGUGGAUUAGUGGCGCACGGGUGAGUAAUAUAUAGAUAACGUGCCUCUUAGUCUGGGAUAGCCAUUGGAAACGAUGAUUAAUACUAGAUACUCCUUCUCUAUCAAAUUAGAGUCGGGAAAGUUUUUCGCUAAGAGAUCGGUCUAUAUCCCAUCAGCUAGUUGGUAGUGUAAGAGACUACCAAGGCAAUGACGGGUAGCGGGUUUGAGAGGAUGAUCCGCCACACUGGUACUGAGACACGGACCAGACUCCUACGGGAGGCAGCAGUGAGGAAUAUUGCACAAUGGAGGAAACUCUGAUGCAGCAACGCCGCGUGGAGGAUGACGCAUUUCGGUGUGUAAACUCCUUUUAUAUGUCAAGAAAAUGACGGUAGCAUAUGAAUAAGCACCGGCUAACUCCGUGCCAGCAGCCGCGGUAAUACGGAGGGUGCAAGCGUUAUUCGGAAUCACUGGGCGUAAAGGACGCGUAGGCGGGAUGCCAAGUCUGAUGUGAAAUCCUAUGGCUUAACCAUAGAACUGCAUUGGAAACUGGUAACCUAGAGUAUGGGAGGGGGAGAUGGAAUUAGUGGUGUAGGGGUAAAAUCCGUAGAUAUCACUAGGAAUACCGAAAGCGAAGGCGAUCUCCUGGAACAAUACUGACGCUAAGGCGUGAAAGCGUGGGGAGCAAACGGGAUUAGAUACCCCGGUAGUCCACGCCCUAAACGAUGUUCACUAGUCGUCGGGAUGCUAGUCAUCUCGGUGAUGCACUUAACAGAUUAAGUGAACCGCCUGGGGAGUACGGU
Molecule: ribosomal RNA, 831 nt
Filed under: uncultured bacterium
Lineage: Bacteria
Description: bacterial SSU rRNA
Rfam family: Bacterial small subunit ribosomal RNA
Source: RNAcentral